This 405-nucleotide ribosomal RNA is filed under the name uncultured bacterium. RNAcentral describes it as "partial 16S ribosomal RNA". It matches the Rfam family "Bacterial small subunit ribosomal RNA", at positions 29 to 526 of the family's 1533-position model. The record is from RNAcentral.
AUUGAACGCUGGCGGCAGGCUUAACACAUGCAAGUCGAACGAGUGGCGGACGGGUGAGUACUGCUUGGGAAUCUGUCUGAUGGCGGGGGAUAACUACGGGAAACCGUAGCUAAUACCGCGUACCAUAGGUUGAGCCCAUGUGGGAUUAGGUAGUUGGUGAGGUAAAGGCUCACCAAGCCGACGAUCUCUAGCUGGUCUGAGAGGAUGACCAGCCACACUGGGACUGGAGCACGGCCCAGACUACUACGAGAGGCAGCAGGGGGGAAUAUUGCGCAAUGGGGGCAACCUGACGGAGCCAGGCCGCGGGAAUGAAGAAGGCCUUCGGGUGGUAAAGUUCUGUCGGUAGCGAGGCGGUACCUACAGAAGAAGGACCGGCUAACUCCGUGCCAGCAGCCGCGGUAAUAC